UACGGAGGGUGCAAGCGUUAUCCGGAUUUAUUGGGUUUAAAGGGUCCGUAGGCGGGGUCUUAAGUCAGUGGUGAAAGCCUGCAGCUCAACUGUAGAAUUGCCAUUGAUACUGAGGUCCUUGAAUAUAAUUGAAGUUAGCGGAAUGUGUCAUGUAGCGGUGAAAUGCUUAGAUAUGACACAGAACACCGAUUGCGAAGGCAGCUAACUAAGUUAUCAUUGACGCUGAGGGACGAAAGCGUGGGGAGCGAACAGG
This 253-nucleotide unclassified non-coding RNA is filed under the name uncultured Flavobacteriales bacterium. Its description in RNAcentral is "contains 16S-23S intergenic spacer region". It matches the Rfam family "Bacterial small subunit ribosomal RNA", at positions 524 to 776 of the family's 1533-position model. The record is from RNAcentral. Lineage: Bacteria; Pseudomonadati; Bacteroidota; Flavobacteriia; Flavobacteriales.